AGUUCAACCAGCCGCCGAGGAGUUUGUAUAAGGAAAAACGACCAACUAUUCUACAAGUUCAGCCCUCCGUAGCUUUCUUCCAUUCCUGCUCCCUAUUGGCUGCUGUCCUCAGAGGGUGGAUAUAAGUAUGGGGUAAAAGGGCUUAGAAGAGAUAACAAGACAACACAAGCGGAGGAGUCCUACUCACCUGCACACAGGUGGU
Parambassis ranga (Indian glassy fish) is the source of this 202-nucleotide long non-coding RNA. Lineage: Eukaryota; Metazoa; Chordata; Actinopteri; Ambassidae. The record is from Ensembl.